This is a long non-coding RNA of Octopus bimaculoides (California two-spot octopus), 968 nucleotides long. RefSeq lists it as uncharacterized. The record is from RefSeq and is a predicted model, not a curated record. Lineage: Eukaryota; Metazoa; Mollusca; Cephalopoda; Octopoda; Octopodidae.
AUUACGUCUGAUUAACCUGUUUUUAUGCUCCGUAUCCGAAAUAUGUUAACCUUAACUUAAAAUUUCUUGAAACUCUGGUUUUGAACGUAUUCAUUUCUUCACUAAUUGAGCUGACAUUUUCUGGAGAAUCUGACAGAAUACAAGGACCAACUAAAAAUAAUACUGAAAGCCACUCGACUUGAGCCUAAGUCAUUUGAAACACAAGCCUAACAAGUCAAUCAGGUCCAUUUCCAGGGACAUGAGAGUGUCUGAGUUUCUUAUCAGGUAAGUAGGGCAUGAAGACAUUUGGUAUUCAUCAUACAAGAUGAGAAAGGGCCAAUUUUUAGCCCAAGCCAUCAAGGACAAGAGGAAAUGCCGUGCUAUGAAGCUUUUGAACAAACUCCAGUAUCCCCUCCAACCAAACAUGCUUUGGUUUUUCUGAGACAAGAAAAAUUUCUGCCAGGAUCAGAUGGUGAACACACAGAACAACCGUUGGCUUGCCAUGUCCCCAAAACAUGUUCUGAGAAUGAUAAAAAUCAAACAUCCAGUCAUCAUGAUGGUGCUUGGAGUGAUCAUUAGUGAUGGUGACGUUAUGUCUCCAUUCAUCUUCUCACAUAGCCUCAGACUCAACACAGAGGCCUACACCAAGUGCCUGGAGGAGAUAGUGCUGUCCUGGGUCAAGAGGGUUGCUGCUGGAAGACCCUGUGUCUGGCAACAGGACUCUGCACCAUGCCACACAAGCAGGAGAACCCAGCCAUGACUGUCAGACAAUUUCUACAACCACACCACCCCUAACAUCUGGCCACCUAACUCUCCAGACUGCAAUCCCCUUGAUUAUUAUAUGUGGGGCACAGUUAAGUGAGAGACCAAUAAAACUCCUUGUAAUACCAAAGACGAACUGAAAGCAAGGGUUAUAGCAGCCUUCACCAACGUAAACAAGGUGACCAUCCAGAAGAGUUGCAGGAGAUUCCGAAGUCGUCUGAAGGCCG